This 339-nucleotide unclassified non-coding RNA is filed under the name Hevea brasiliensis (rubber tree). The record is from RNAcentral. Lineage: Eukaryota; Viridiplantae; Streptophyta; Magnoliopsida; Malpighiales; Euphorbiaceae.
GUACAGGGAUGCACUAUUGGAGGAGGGUGAGGAGUGAUAUUUGCUGCCAUAGCCCCGCUAAAAUCCUCAUGAUAUGAAUGUGCCAAUUGGAGAAUUUCCUGAUAGCCUUGAUUUUGAUUCCUAAAGAGCAUGACAUUCCUGCUCUUCCAUAUCUGCAACAUGAUAAAAACUGAUAAUUGCUGCAAGAUUUCCUCUUCUUCAUGAGAUAACAGCAAUGAGAAAUUUCAGACCAACAUCCUUUAAUAACCAACCUGUCUAACAUGGUUGAUCGAAGGCAUAGAGGAGAGUUAAACCAUGUAGCUCUUGUUAUCGGACAUUCAAAAAAUAGGUGCUUUGUUG